CCCUUAGAUGUUCUGGGCCGCACGCGCGCUACACUGAUGCAUUCAACGAGCCUAUCCUUGACCGACAGGUCCGGGUAAUCUUUGAAUCUGCAUCGUGACGGGGAUAGAUUAUUGCAAUUAUUAAUCUUCAACGAGGAAUGCCUAGUAGGCGCAAGUCAUCAGCUUGCGUCGAUUACGUCCCUGCCCUUUGUACACGCCGCCCGUCGCUACUACCGAUUGAAUGGUUUAGUGAGAUCUCUGGAUUGACGCUGGCUAGGGGGCGACCCUUGGCCAGACUGCUCGAGAAACUGCUCAAACUUGAUCAUUUAGAGGAAGUAAAAGUCGUAACA
Molecule: ribosomal RNA, 329 nt
Filed under: uncultured eukaryote
Lineage: Eukaryota
Description: partial 18S ribosomal RNA
Rfam family: Eukaryotic small subunit ribosomal RNA
Source: RNAcentral